GUCAGGAUGGCCGAGUGGUCUAAGGCGCCAGACUUAAGCCUAGUUGUUGGUUAUCUGGUCCGCAAAUGCGGGCGUGGGUUCGAACCCCACUUCUGACA
Molecule: non-coding RNA, 98 nt
Organism: Strigamia maritima
Lineage: Eukaryota; Metazoa; Arthropoda; Chilopoda; Geophilomorpha; Linotaeniidae
Source: Rfam